AGCUUGAAGUACAUGCGAUGCUCCUAAUGACUUUUAGGUAAUUUCUUUGUCGUUCUUUACCUCUUGAUGGGGAAAUGUGUAGCAUAACCGAGAUCUGCCCUUUAACUUUAACCGAGAUCUGCCCUUUAACUUUGCCUACUGACCUCAUUUCUAAAUGAAGACAUGCUAUUUUCUCCAUUGUUUUAAGGAAAAAAUUUAUCUAAGGUUGCAACCUUAAAAUGUAGAAUUAAGGUGCACCUAAAAAAUCCAUCAUAAAAGUUUGUUUUGCUGUUGGAAAACCUUCUAAUUGAUCAUCUCGACAUCAAGAUGUAUGAAUAUGAAAAGUAAAAAAGAUUUCAAGUCCGAAAAAUAGUGUAUCUUGCAACACAGUAUCUGGACCGUCCAUUUUUUAGAUUUUCAAGCAUUUAUAAAUCUACUUGAUUUGAAUCAUUUUUGGAGUUUAACAUUUUAUGAUUAGAGAUGAAAAUAGAUACUCAAGUUAUCUUAAGAAUUUUUAUACUAAAAUUAUAUUUAUAACAAAAUUUGAAGGUGCACCUUAAUUUGAUUGUUUAAGGUUGCAACCUUAUACAAACCACACCCUUGUUUUAAAUAUCCUUUUACCUAUAAAUAAGGCCAUAGUAUUAUUGUUUCCUGAUAUAUUCUGUAUAGCAUGACAAUGUGAUAACUCGUAUGAUUGUCCCUCCAUGCCUACUAUUCUGAUUGUCUCUCCAUGGCUACUAUUACC
RNAcentral lists this long non-coding RNA (724 nucleotides) under Amborella trichopoda. RNAcentral describes it as "long non-coding RNA (ATRI_LNC004815)". The record is from RNAcentral. Lineage: Eukaryota; Viridiplantae; Streptophyta; Magnoliopsida; Amborellales; Amborellaceae.